GAUGAACGCUGGCGGCGUGCCUAAUACAUGCAAGUCGAGCGAACAGACGCGGCGCUUGCUCCUCUCACGUUAGCCGAGGACGGGUGAGUAACGCGUGGAUACCCUCCCUAUAAGACUGGUAUCACUUCGGGACACCGGAGCUAACACCGGAUAAUCUCUUGCUCCGCAUGGUUCAAUGGUAAAAGACGGCUUUGCUGUCUCUUCUCGCUGGAUCCGCGCCGCAUUAGCUAGUUGGUAAGGUACAGGCUUAUCAAGGCUACGAUGCGUAGCCGAACUGAGAGGGUGAUCAGCCACACUGGGACUGAGACACGGUCCAGAGGCAUAGGGGAGGCGGCAGUAGGGAAACUGCAGCAAGGGGCGAAAGCUUGACGGAGCAACGCCGCGGGAGGGAGGAAGGUCGUCGGAUCGUAAAUCUCGGUUAUUAGGUAAGAACAAGUGUGUGAGUGACUAGACGCGUCUGGACGGUACCUAAGCAGAGAACCACGGCUAACUACGGU
This 497-nucleotide ribosomal RNA is filed under the name uncultured bacterium. RNAcentral describes it as "partial 16S ribosomal RNA". It matches the Rfam family "Bacterial small subunit ribosomal RNA", at positions 28 to 507 of the family's 1533-position model. The record is from RNAcentral.